Molecule: transfer RNA, 66 nt
Filed under: Illinigina sp. EMHAU-15062817
Lineage: Eukaryota; Metazoa; Arthropoda; Insecta; Hemiptera; Cicadellidae
Description: tRNA-Tyr
Rfam family: tRNA
About the family: Transfer RNA (tRNA) molecules are approximately 80 nucleotides in length. Their secondary structure includes four short double-helical elements and three loops (D, anti-codon, and T loops).
Source: RNAcentral
AUUAAGAUGUCUGAUUAAAGUGAUAAAUUGUAAAUUUAUUUAAAAAUGUUCAACCGUUUUCUUAAU